CAGCCCCAGACGAGAAGGAAAGAGUCUGAAGGACAGGAGGGUCCUUGGAGAGACAGGGACAUAGUCUGUGUGGCCCAGGAGGAGCUACGAUUGAAAUCAAGAGGUUUUGGAGACGUGGACCUGAAUAAAUCGGAUGUAUGGAAAAAGGGCAGCAAAACCCCAAGAAGUUGCCUUCUGUUCUCAGACAACAGUGGAUGGACAGGCUCUUCCAGUUUGGUAAGGAAUCUAUGCAAGUGAAUGCUGGAAAAGGAGGCUGUCCUGCUAGCAUCUGGCAUCAGUAGACCCUUCUAGAACUACUUCACCGUCACCCGCCAUGCUCUAGAGGUUGUGGCUAAGGGUGUGGGUUCUGCAGUCAGACACAUGGGAUUGAAGUCAUCAUCCCAUCGCCUGUCCACGGAGAUACCUUGGGAAGCCACCUUGUCACCUGGGCCUCAGUUAUCCUUGGAAACCCAGGAUAACACUGGUAACUAUCUCCUCUGAUCACUGGAAGAGCAAUCGAUAACCGAUAUAGUAAUGGCACUGAGAAUCUGGAAGACUCAAGAAAGUUCUGGAUGCUUAAAGUUCUCAAAUGACUCUUCUAUAGCAUGAGCCAGGAAGUUGGCACAAUUUUGCUUCAGAUAAGACUGAUGUGAACUGAUAAACAAAAUCACAAACAGGAUACAGAGAAGUCCAGCUUUAUGCCCCAGUACAUCGUCAUCCCUCCUUGCCUCAAAAGCAGCCCGUCCAAGGCAAUUUUCCUUCGUGCUGUCUUCACCACGGAAACAGAUUUCCCUCCUUCCCCACAUCCAAUUUCUUGUUUUAACCCCUCGUCUGAAAAUCGUCUUAAUCUCAGCACAUACCAAACUAGAAAAGGCAAGUAUUUUAUAAGGAAAAGGUCUCUUUAGAUACGAUACAAUCUACCUUCUAUCCAUUAAUUUCAGGAUACUGUAGUCUUACUUCUUCUCACAGCAAAGAGCCUGAUCUCAAGUUUGUAGGAUGUAAACUUUAUUUAAAGAUUCAGAUUGGUGGGAGAGGGCUGUAUGUCAGGAUGUCUUUAGGCAAUUCGCCAAUGCAAUCAGGUUUUAAUUCCUGGCAUUUUCAUUUUCCCUGAACCGAAAGCCGAUCCAGGGAACGGCGAAUGAAGUGCAUCUCAGGGCUUCCAUUUCAGAUUAAAACCAUUUUUUUUUUUUAUUAAUGUCUCCGCUCAUCUGUGGGUUUGCCUCAGAGCCAUUGCUCUGCUCUUACGUGCUCAUGUUGGAAAAACGUAGACUGCGUGCUUCAGUCACCGAGAAGAGCUUGCUGUGUGAUUUCAUCCCACCGCUUUCUAUGGAAGCAAGUCUGAUCUCUCGGCGUGACAGGGAAAACGCUUCACAUCUUAUUAGCUAGUGGAUGAGAUAUAAAAUCAGUUUCAUGGUAGAGGAACACCCUGGAGGUUGAUCAGUUUGUCAGAAUAAAUAGGCCUUUCCUGACACAAAGACAUUAACUUCCCUUUCACACUGUACUACAAAGAAUGGACUGAAAAAAUAACAGAAAGGGAAGAGCACAGAAAUGAAGGCCUCGCCAUUUCAGCCUGGCAAAAGGCAAGCGGAAGCUGCAAGAAUACGCUGGGGAUGAUUUAACACUAAUGUGCUUGUUAAUUUGCUUCUAUGCAGAAAGUAUGACUUAAAUUUAGAGAUGCCAUGCAGUGGGGCCUCCUAGGUAAAUAACUUGAAUCUGUCUCAUACAAAAUGGGGAAAUAUCUAGAAAGUCUGGUUUGAUCUUGAAAAUGUUCAAGUUUUUAAUCGUGUUAUUCAGAAUUCAAACGGGAGCUUGUACAAAUGUUUAGACCCCUCAGUUCCCAAACUGUGCACCAAGGUACUCUGGGGCAUAACAGGCUCUCAGGGGUGCAGUGGGAAAUUUUACAUCUUUGAGGAAAUUACAGUGAUACUAUCUGUUGGAUGCUACGUGAACUACUAACGCACGGUAGUUCAUGAUGUUAUCGUGGCUUGUGCUCUCCUUCUUUUGAUGACAUAUCUUUGCAAAGAUGGGUUUUUGGUUAUUGUGAUAGAAAAACAACUAGCAUGUGAACGAACAUCUGUUUGCUACAGGAGAUGCAGUUAUUUAGGAAUGAAAUAAAAAUCGUUUUUCUUUCAA
Long non-coding RNA from Lynx canadensis (Canada lynx), 2112 nucleotides. RefSeq lists it as uncharacterized. NCBI's taxonomy places the organism in Eukaryota, Metazoa, Chordata, Mammalia, Carnivora, Felidae. The transcript is spliced from 5 exons. The record is from RefSeq and is a predicted model, not a curated record.